UGGUUGUUGCCCCGCGCCUGUUGAACUGCCCUACAGACUCGCUGUUCUAGGCCCGGCGCCCGCCCAAAAAACCCUACGGACCUCCCUCCCGGGCCUCAACUCGUGACGCUGGUCAGGGGUUCUGGGGUCAGACGCAACCCAGCCGGGCGGGGAGGGCGGUCGGCUCGGAAGAGGUUUCUUUUUUCGUAGACGAUCACGUGGGCAGGGGAACCAGUCUUCGGGGAGCGCCUGCGAGGCCCGCUGACCGCAUCCAAGUUGUCCUAGCCGCUCAGGCUCCUAUCUCCUGGUCCAGGGGUGGCCGUAGCCCGCCUCGGACGGCCGACAGGAGGACCCCGGCCGGGGUAGACGGACUCUGGGCCGUCCUGGAACUGAGAGAGGCGCCCUGGUCAGGGCUUGUUGCUUGCCUUUGGUCAGCAGCCUCUGGCUCCUCCCUGCCCCCAGCAAGCCAAUGGAGCUCCAGAAUCACCUGCAUUUCUGUGGACCAACAAAGGCCCCAUCUUGGCUGCUGGGCAUUUGUGCUCCCUGAAGGCAUGUCCCGGUGAGGCACUGACAGAAGGGCUGGGUCAUCAGGCCAGCUCGGGAGGGUAGGAAGAACCCUAAUGGGCCAUGGACCAAAUGAGUGCAUUGUGCUGCUAAAAAUCUGUAGCAGUCUUUUCCAAUUUGCAGAAAAAUUAAUGGGCUUUUCAUAAAGGUUUGGUACCUGA
Phacochoerus africanus (Common warthog) is the source of this 704-nucleotide long non-coding RNA. RefSeq lists it as uncharacterized. NCBI's taxonomy places the organism in Eukaryota, Metazoa, Chordata, Mammalia, Artiodactyla, Suidae. The record is from RefSeq and is a predicted model, not a curated record. The transcript is spliced from 2 exons.